Molecule: long non-coding RNA, 4909 nt
Organism: Cynocephalus volans (Philippine flying lemur)
Lineage: Eukaryota; Metazoa; Chordata; Mammalia; Dermoptera; Cynocephalidae
Exons: 2
Source: RefSeq, a predicted model, not a curated record
GAAACCCUCUGUGACACUCCAUGAAAUCACUGUGGCGAAUCCGUCACAGAUUCCAAACAGGAUCCGAGGGGCGCGAGCCGUGAGACCGGCCUGAGAAGGAGGUUCCAGGUCCUGCCCAACCUCCGCGUCGCGACGCACACGAACAAUGAGGAGGAGGUGAACGAGUACCGGCUGGAAGUUUCUGAUUCUGGAUCUGAACCCAUUUGCCUGUGACCUUGAGGUCCCUGGUACUUCUUUCUGGGCAUCAGUCUCCCCAUCUGUGAAAGGAGGACGGACAGGGCGGCCGGGUCAUCUCCAAAUUCCACGUCUGCCCUCGGUCCGUGCCUGUCGCGCGCUGUGCUGGGUCUCUGGCCAUCCGCACCGGGUGUGCUCUCCCAGCGUUGGGCUUCCAGCUCCAGCCGUCCACUGGAUAGUCUCACCUAGCUGCCACCCAACACCCCGAACACCACACACGCAGAAUGAAGCCACCUUCUCCUGACCACUUCUGGUAGCUGCCGCCAGUGCCUCAGUGCUGGGAAAAUAGAAUAAUUGAAUCAGGCCCCCUCGCCUUCCUUUCCGGUUGGGAGUGGUGGGGCGCAUUCUUUGUAAGCAAAUUGUGUGUGGGUGGAGUUGGUGCGCGUGCGUGGUGCUGAGACUUGGCUGGCAUCUCCCUCAGGCGUCUGCCACACGCGGCCAUGCUUUCCAACCUACCACUUCCAAAGUCCCGUUUGCCGGUUACCUAGCUCUUAGACCUGCGUUUGAGGGGUCUGGUGACCCAGCCUGGCGUGUGAAGGGUUUGUGACUCUGUCUGGACAAAAGGCUUGAGGGGUCUGUGAGGUUCAGACCCAGCCCUAGGUCGACAGUUGGCUCAGUCAGCAGGAUUACGGGCAGGUAAAAGAGCUCGACACUCAGUCACCCAGGCAGGAGUCACCGAUGGCUUCCCCAUCCUCCCAGGUCUUCGCACAUCCUCUCCUCCCCACACUUCUCGAGUCCAUGACACGAAAUCGUGAUCAUUUGGCCUCCUUCUCAUUCCUGCAACUGCUCUCCCCAGUCCAGGCACGAGGACCUCCUAGCUGGUUCCCACCACCACCAUCCAUUGGACAUUGUGGCCAGAAUCGGCUCCUGGGGCAAGGUAGCAUCACUCCCUUAAAAAUAGACAGCAAUGCUUACCACUGUCCACUGCACGGAGCCUGCGGGCCAGCUCCACCCGCAGUGCAGCCCGACCUCCUCUGUGCUCGGUUCCCGGAGUGCUGGCGGCAGAUCCCCAGCACCUCUGCUCCUGGGGAGUCUUCAUCCUGUGGUGCCUGCCCUGCUCCUCUGCCCAUGCCUUCCCACAGCCAUCACCCAUAUCAACUCCAGAAAAUUCUCCCUCUCCUCCCUGCUUGUACUCCUACCUAGCCUACUGCAUCUGACCUUGUGUUGAUCUUCCGCGCUGGCCCGAGUGUCAGCUCUUUGAAGACAAAGACCUUGCUCAUGUCACACUUCCCAUGGAUCUGACAGCAGCAACAGAGAGACCUCUCUGUCUUCUCUGUGGGCCAAUGACGGCGGUGAGCAUGAGAACAGGACCCCAAGUCCCUGUGCUGUGUGGUCUGUGCUGUGUGCUGCAACCUGGUGUGUCAGUCAGUUCAUCUUGCUCAAGACUGCAUUCAAAUCCAGUGGACACUGGGGGUUGUGCCCCAUCAUCUCUCCCUGUUUGUGAUAAACAGACUGACCACCAGGUUAGAGAGCCCUAGAGAUGGUCUCACCCAGACCCUUCGUGUUACAGAUGAAGGCCCUUAGGGAAAUAAGAUGCAGCAGAACCAGGAUUCAAGUCCCUGUCUCCAAGGCAAAGCCCUGGGUUCACGUGAUUUCAGCAAAGUGGCACUGCACAUUCCAAGCAACAAAUGGUAUCACGUCAAUUUUGGGCAGGCUAAUGUCAACAUAAAAAUAUAUAUUCCCUUUUUAAUGGAUGGAUGGGUCUUGAUCAUUUACAUAUGGUACUGUAACUGAUGUUGGUUCCAAAGAAGAUUUGAAUUUUGCACUAAAUAUGUUAAUUGUAUACUUAGGUUUUGAGCUGAUGGUCCUUCAUUCCAGCAGGCCUUUAUGUAACUAUAAAAUGCACACAAGAGGGUGUAGUCUAGGCUUUAGAAUGGCUUUUCCGAUAGCCUUAUAGACAUCUCUAUCUAGAAAUCAUACCAUCUCCUCAAACGCAUGACGUACAAAAUCAAACUCAACUUACCUUCGUGUUAUUUCUGAUUGUAGCAUCCUUCUCCUAUCUCUUCUCGCUUUGAGUCACACCUGUGACCAAGCUUCAGUAACUUCUGCUUACAACAUUCCUCUAACCCUCUCUCCUCCUGUCCAGCUCCACUGGUCCUGCCCCACUCAGGCCUUCGGAGCUUCCUUCCAGUCUUCCUGCCACGGUUGCCAGGUCACUCUUCUUAAAGCUCCAUUCUGAGUGGAUCACAGUCCCCUUGCUCUUACAGUCUACAACCAUUCCCUGCCUACAAACUAAAGAGCUUGUUCAUUUGACAUCAAAGGGUUGACAAGCCCUGGCAUAAAAUCUCCUUCCCCACUUUCCAUUCCUCUGGUCUCUCUCAUGAACCUGCAUUCAGCUGAAGAAUUCCCAGUUGUCCCUGAAGAGUCCCCAGCUACUAGUGCCUAGGUUUUGCUGGCAUGUCCUUCUUCUUGUCAUCUCAAUUCCCCCAACCUGAGCCUUAGCACGCAUCAAAUCAUACCCAGUUGAGUCUCAGGCCAAAUUCCCCCUUCUCUAGGAAGCAUUCCCUAAUCUCCUGGUAAGAGUCUCUGCCACAUCUGGAAUUACACAUCUGUGCUCCCUGGAAUUAGGAAUUUAUAUGUGUGUCUUAUUUGGUGGCUGGCUUAUCUGUAAUUCUCCCAUUGUGCUGAAUGACAUAAUCAACAGCGUAUGUUUCUCAAAGUGCGGUCCAGCGCCUGAACAAGGGACAAGCCUGUUUCCUGCAUCUCAUCCAGCUCCCCUCAUGACCAGCCUCGUGGAAUGCAUGACUCAGUGAAAACCCUGCUCUACUUCUGUGUGUUUUUAAGUAGAAAAGCCUGGUUCAAGUGUGUGCUAUUGCAGACAUAAAGAUACCCAGCAGACAUUUACUAGAAUGAACAGAAUAGGCUUGUAGGGCUGUUGGCUUCACCCACUCAGCCAAAAGCCCUGAAACUUUCAUUAGGGAUCAGAGUCAUAUUUUUGAACUAUGGUCAGUCAUCUUCAGAAAACCACUGUAAAAACUCCUGACUGUCACUUGUGAGUGGGCUACACAGUCAUCAGCGUUGAUUAACACAAUAGCAUGGUUUAAUUUACCAAAUAAACCAGUCUUUACAUAACAAUGCCCAGGGGGUCUGAGACACAGGACAGAACAUUUAGGUGGCUGGGAGAGAAGAGGGCAGGAAGAAGGACAGGCUCCCAGCGAGGGUCCUGGCCUGCUGGGAGGUAGGCAGAUUGAAGAGACACUAAAACGUGACAUCGUUAGCUACCAGCUACUCUACAGUGUUGCCUAGAAGAGUCCUGAGAGCAGUGUUUUGAGCUCCACAGAGGGACAGCUACAUAUAUCUAACUACACAAUCAAUCACCAUGCCAGCUAGCAUUCAAGCACCCAUUUCUGUAUCUUGCUGAUGGGUAAUUUGUCCCCACUAUUUACCUACCUUCCAGGACCUCACCUCUAUUUUUUUCUGGUUUGCUGAAUUCCAAGCCAGUUCUAAUGAGUGAAACAUUAAUUACUUCCAAGUAAAUGGGCUUUAGAUUUCAGAAAAUCUGGUUGGGGUGGGAGAGAGUAGUAAAGGAAUGUGCUAAAUCUGAGCAUGCUGAAGGUAUCAGUGCCAGGAGAGAGGGUUUAUUUAUUCAUGAGAUAACUAACAGGAAGGAAAUACAAAGCUCUUAGGUGGCGGCUCUCCUUGCAAGGUGAGUCUCAGUGCUACACCUCUACUUCUGAGAUCUCCCUGCUGGAAGAGUCGGUUAUUUCACUCCUUAUCAGAUUAGUGCAGAAUUUGUUCAUGCUGGGCUGUCUUGUGUGUGUCCCAAUUUCGUGAAUUUUUUUUACCUUUUCUAAAGUCACUAGAAGAGUUGAUUAUAACUCUGUGGUUGGAGUUCUCCAGGUAUUUACAUCAUAAGUCCUAUGGGAGGGGGCUAUAAUCCUGUGUGACAAAAUCUUCCUAAGCUACAAUUUCCAUGCAUGCCUGGCAACUUACAAUUUGGUCAUGUCUCAUUUCUGUCUUACCAUAUUAUAAGAAAUUCAGUUUGGGGAAACUGCUGGGUUUAAAGAAAGGACAAAAGUGCAUAGUCACCUGACACAGAGAGUUUGUGUUUAAUGAGUUAGUAUUUAUAAAGCAGCUUGAGACCCUUGAGUGAAACUAGUCUAUGCAUUUAAGAGAUUGUUAACAUUUUGGUGACACACUUUUUUUUCUUACAUCAUUAAAUUACCUAAAUAACAUGAAUAUGACUAAGUUCAGUGAGCUGUGUGUGCAUUUCCAGUUCUGUCAGGACUACUGUCUUCCUCUGGAAGUAAUGAACUAUCAGCCUAUUUACCUAAGAACAAGUGUGCGGGCAAAAGAGAAGAAAUGAGACAAUCCCACAGAAUCCCAGAGUGAGAUUAAUUUGCUUUUCCAUACCAUUGAUGGGAGUACUGAGAACCUAACUGUGGGUCAAAAAUGUUUCGGUGGAAAUCAGGUCAUGAGAUUUACCUUCAGCAAGUCGCCUAAGUGUUUGGUUGUAUACAUUAUUACAAAUCAGAGUGCCAUUAUCAACUGUGUGAUUACUUCUGAUGGUCUGAAUAAUGUUAGUGAAUUAUUAAUCAUUUGUGCUAAUGGUGACAUGGAUAGCACAAUACAACAAAUUACCCCCAAAUUAUUCUUGUCUGGUCUCAGAUUGUAUAACAGUUUUGCAGUAUAUUUCCUUUGCCAAUUAUGAUUGAUUAAACUCUGGCUUAAUUAA